AUUAGAUACCCCACUAUGCUUAACCCUAAACACAGACAAUACCCACACAAUAUUGUCCGCCAGAGAACUACUAGCGAAAAGCUUGAAACUCCAAGGACUUGGCGGUGCCCCACAUCACCCUAGAGGAGCCUGUCCUAUAAUCGAUACCCCACGUUAUACCUCACCAUCAUUUGCCAGUCAGCCUAUAUACCGCCGUCGUCAGCCCACCUUAUAAAAGACAAACAGUCGGCACAAAGGAAUGCACAAAUACGUCAGGUCAAGGUGUAGCACAUGAGAUGGAAGAGAUGGGCUACAUUUCCUGUCACAGAACAUACGAACGGCAAAGUGAAACACCAACCCAAAGGCGGAUUUAGCAGUAAAAUGAACAAGCAACCUCAUCUUAAACCUGCUCUGGGGCGCGCACAC
Molecule: ribosomal RNA, 405 nt
Filed under: Scelotes mirus
Lineage: Eukaryota; Metazoa; Chordata; Lepidosauria; Squamata; Scincidae
Description: partial 12S ribosomal RNA
Rfam family: Bacterial small subunit ribosomal RNA
Source: RNAcentral